This 1611-nucleotide long non-coding RNA is filed under the name Triticum aestivum (bread wheat). RNAcentral describes it as "long non-coding RNA (TAES_LNC025527)". Lineage: Eukaryota; Viridiplantae; Streptophyta; Magnoliopsida; Poales; Poaceae. The record is from RNAcentral.
GCGCACGAACGCUGCCAUGGGCACACGCACGCCCUAAUCUUCUCCCUCUUUCCAAUUGCUACAUCAUGGCAACUCCUCCCUUAGCUACAUCAGGUCUGGGGGAUUUUUAUACCUGCGCAUACACGCACCCCAGCACACAUGCACGCACACAUCACCGGUCUAAACUCACGACCACUAACCCAUUCACACGCUAAGUCAUGCAAGCACUAACUAUACCACUAAGCUAGCUACAUGCACGGCUUCCAUAUCCAUGCGCGCAUCAGUUCCUCAACAGCCGGCCACACGACCUGGUAGCUAGCAUGCAUGCAUCUAACUAACUCCAUGUAUGACCCGGCCGGCCCCUCCACUCUCAUGUCAAAGAUUAUGCCUAACAAUUCUCCCUCUAGUCUUGACAUGGCUAGUCAUCGACCGUCGCCUUGACCAUCUUCGACCGACGAUGUAAUGUGUCGCCUGCUCGUCGCCAUUGAAGUUGCUGCAGCUCCUGUCAUUGUUGUCGUCACAGCCGUAACCCAGCCCACGGAUCCGACCCGGCGCAUCGAUGCCGGUCGCACCGCCACGGACCUGACCUGACGCACUGAUGUCGGUCGCACCGUGCUCCGUCGUGACCCCAGCGACAUACGCCGAGCUCCUUCUUCGUCGGUGACACACGCCUGGCGUCCCUCUGCACCCCGCACAUCUCGCGCGCACCCUACGCGCCCGACGAAUCCGACCGCACCAGUGCGUCCUGCACGUCCCGCGCACAUCCGACUUGCCCGAUGAGCCCGACCGCACUAGACGCUCACCGCGCACUGCCUUCGUGUCUGCCAUGGAAGCCGUCAGCGACAAACGCCGGAAGGAUGUAGGCAAACUCGAGCAUGGACUCGAGCACAACGACGACAUACGCCUCCUCCCAACGUCAACCGCAUGCUCGUACGCGCGCCCGUGGUCACGACGCGCCAGACGCGUCCAAUGCGCACCCAUAACACGCACCGGUCGCGCCCGGCUCGCCGCCACGGCUUAUUGCCCUGCACCGCUGCGGCCUCAACUACAGCGCAGCACCUCCAUGCCGCUGUGUGUCGUUGAAGCCCCCACCACGCAGGUCCUCCGCGGCCUCGUCACAGUGCCGCCGCAGCCACCGCGGCCUCCUUGCCGGACCGCGCACCUCCAUAGACCGACACACGGCCCGGAGCAUCGCGCAGCCGCCGGCGAACUCUGCCACCGCCGGCACGCCUCCGACAAAGAGAACAACGCCCAAGAUGAACCAGCUCAUGAUACCAAAUGUUGUUGUCGAGCCUGGCUGCUCUCUUUCUCCCAGCUCACUCACGGACAGAGGUAGGAGAAAGGAAACACAGUGGACACGAGGAUUUUUCUGGCCGGCGCACGAACGCCACCGUGGGCACACACACGCCCUAAUCUUCUCCCUCUUUCCAAUGGCUACAUCACGGCAACUCCUCCCUUAGCUACAUCAGGUCUGGGGGAUUUUUAUACCUGCGCGUACACGCACCCCAGCACACACACGCGCACACAUCACCGGCCUAAACUCACGGCCACUAACCCAUUCACACGCUAAGUCAUGCAAGCACUAACUAUACCACUAAGCUAGCUACAUGCACGGCGUCCAUAUCCAUGCGC